Molecule: long non-coding RNA, 394 nt
Filed under: Salvia miltiorrhiza (redroot sage)
Lineage: Eukaryota; Viridiplantae; Streptophyta; Magnoliopsida; Lamiales; Lamiaceae
Description: long non-coding RNA (SMIL_LNC014253)
Source: RNAcentral
UAAAAGGUGCUGAAAUCAUCCGGUUCUAAGUUAACCCGUUAAAUUCUAAAUUGACUCGAUAUAUAAAUUUUAUCAGUUAUUGUUAGCUAUUCGUUUGAAACUUCAUUUUACCAAUUGAUUAAUGAAACCAAUAUUUUUAAAUUUUCAUAUUAAUAACCGAUUUCAUAAAGAGUGGAUUUUGAAAAUAGCCACUUUGGAAUAGUAAAUUUAAAAAUUACCUACUAAGAUAAAUAAAAAAAUUAAAAAAAAUUAAAAAAAAUAAAAAGUAGCCACACUACCCUUGCAUAUAAAAAUGGGUUAAUUGCAUAUAAUAACACGAACUUUUCCCGAAAUUCAUUUUUCCCACGAUCUUUAAAAAUUCUAUUUUUUAUCAAAUACUUUGACAUUUGUCCAA